This is a long non-coding RNA of Scaptodrosophila lebanonensis, 1974 nucleotides long. RefSeq lists it as uncharacterized. The transcript is spliced from 2 exons. The record is from RefSeq and is a predicted model, not a curated record. NCBI's taxonomy places the organism in Eukaryota, Metazoa, Arthropoda, Insecta, Diptera, Drosophilidae.
UUACAAAACAUAAGUAAACUUCUUAGAAUGUAACUAUUUGUUGCCCACGCCAAAAGGAGAAUCUAGAGCACAUAUUUUGACAAACACUCUGGAAUUGUGCAAAUCACUUCGCUACAGGAGGAGGAGGAUAUCACAAAGGAUAAGCCAUGAGGUAACUUCAAAAAGAAAAAUAACCACUUUUAGCGGCUUAGUAGGCAAUGGUUUUAAAUAAAAACAGUCCCGAUACUAGAUCCGUUUUCAUUGCAAAUUAAAUAAAUUAAAAGCAGCGAAAGCGAAGAGUAAAACAAAAUCAGUAAGCCGUUGUCAAUUCCAAGCGUUCUCAUUUUAAUAAGCUCAAACACACUUGGGAGAGACGAAAUGGAAACAAACAUUUGGAGCAGGAACAAAUGGUAAACUGUUAGUGCGAGGAACGUGGGGAAAUGAAAAUUCGGAGACCUUUCAAAGAGAGGGAAUUAAGAGCUUAUGUGGUUGGUAUGUUUUUGAUAGAAGUGGAAACGGCACGGCAUAUAGUCGAGUAAAACUCAAUUUCCCUUAGUCCUGUAAGAAUCCAUUUUAAAUGUGCAUUGUAUGUGUUUCGGGUAUUGGCCAUGUAGUCUAUAAAAUAAUAAAAAACCACCGUCUCAGACUUUAUAGAACUUACAAUAAAAGCUCCACUUGGACGUUUUAAUGUUGUAGAUUGUUUUCCGUAUACCGCAAAGUAAAUAUUAAUACUAUAUAGAUGCUAAUAGAAAAACCAAAAAUGUACACUAUUAAGGGCUGGUCUUUCAAUUAUACGGAAACUUUAGCUGGCACCAGAGAUCUAUUUAUGUCAGUCAGCUAAAGUGCGUGUUUAGAUUGAGAAACGUGCCCUUAAUUAUACAACAACUGAGGGGUUAAAAGCGUAACUAUGCUUAAAAACUGUAUUGUCAUAAUAGCAACAAAAAUGCUGAACCGUAUGCAACAUAAAGCGCCAUUCAAUUUUUAUUAAAUCGAAGUGCUCAUUUAUCAAUUUGUGAGCUUCGAAUAUAUACACAGAUUUGCUCCUCAUGAAUAACCUGCAACCUGCAUUCCACAUAUAGCUGUAAAUAUUACGCAUACGCUCUGUUGUAUUCAGUUGCGCGUAGGUCCUACGUUCUAAAAAUAAAAUUUCUCAAAAUUCCUGUUAGCACAUAUCUAUUGAGGACAUUAGUUUUAUUGUAUUAAGCAAUUGGUUACACAAAACAUUUAGGAUAAAAGUGAAAUAAAAUACAUAAUAAUAAGUUAUCAGAAUCUAUUUCAAAUGCACUCUUGUUUGCACACACGAGAUAACUUCAAUAACUCUCUGACAAUCAGAAAUUCUUGUUUAGAACAAAACAAAGUGAAAGGGAAAGAAGUGGUGGAGAAAAGAAAAAGAUAUUUCUACAAAAUUUCUACACAUGCUGCAUGUGAACUUAUUUAACCUAACCUAAGGCCAAGCAUUUCAGUAGGAGUAAUGAAUUUUCUUAAUGUUAGCCCUAAGCAUAUUAAAUACACAUAAACCCCACUACAUGCACACACUUAUACACACAAGGAAAUUGUUUAUGUAUGAAAAUUAGCAAAACAAAAAUAUUAAUUAAGACAAACAAACAGGAGGAAAAACACCCACCCUCAUCUCCGGGCCUCCUCAAUACACCCCCUAGUGUGCACAUCUUGCAUUCAGCUUAGUUUUGUUUGUCCAAAUUUGAUGUGUAUAUGUAUAAGUGUAGCUAAGUUAAGGGAAAAUGUGCACAGAAAAUUAUAUGUUAUAAAUUAUAAUUAAAUUUGCCCUUCUGCAUACAUGCAAUAUGUAUUUAUAUGUAAGUGUACAUGUAUAUGUGUUAUGGUAAUGUCCCUGUGCUUAUAGUUGGUGAUAUGAAACUCUCGAAAGUGAAGGCUAAACUAUGGAUAUGGAUAUACCUACUAAAUGUACUAUUAAUUAAUACUGUCUAUGAUCUAUGUCUAUUACAAAUAAAACUAAACUUUACUGCAAAACAAAAA